CAGUCGCCGCGGUAAUACGUAGGGUGCAAGCGUUAAUCGGAAUUACUGGGCGUAAAGCGUGCGCAGGCGGUUAUAUAAGACAGAUGUGAAAUCCCCGGGCUCAACCUGGGAACUGCAUUUGUGACUGUAUAGCUAGAGUACGGCAGAGGGGGAUGGAAUUCCGCGUGUAGCAGUGAAAUGCGUUGAGAUCGGAAAGAACACCAACGGCGAAAGCACUCUGCUGGGCCGACACUGACACUGAGAGACGAAAGCUAGGGGAGCAAAUGGGAUUAGAUACCCCAGUAGUCCCUGUCUCUUAUAC
This 301-nucleotide ribosomal RNA is filed under the name uncultured bacterium. Its description in RNAcentral is "partial 16S ribosomal RNA". It matches the Rfam family "Bacterial small subunit ribosomal RNA", at positions 509 to 807 of the family's 1533-position model. The record is from RNAcentral.